GUGAACGCUGGCGGUAGGCCUAACACCUGCCAGUCGAACGGCAGCACAGCAAGAGCUUGCUCUUACGGGUGGCGAGUGGCGGACGGGUGAGGAAUACAUCGGAAUCUACUUUUUCGUGGGGGAUAACGUAGGGAAACUUACGCUAAUACCGCAUACGACCUACGGGUGAAAGCAGGGGAUCUUCGGACCUUGCGCGAUUGAAUGAGCCGAUGUCGGAUUAGCUAGUUGGCGGGGUAAAGGCCCACCAAGGCGACGAUCCGUAGCUGGUCUGAGAGGAUGAUCAGCCACACUGGAACUGAGACACGGUCCAGACUCCUACGGGAGGCAGCAGUGGGGAAUAUUGGACAAUGGGCGCAAGCCUGAUCCAGCCAUACCGCGUGGGUGAAGAAGGCCUUCGGGUUGUAAAGCCCUUUUGUUGGGAAAGAAAAGCAGCAGGUUAAUACCCCGCUGUUCUGACGGUACCCAAAGAAUAAGCACCGGCUAACUUCGUG
This 491-nucleotide ribosomal RNA is filed under the name uncultured bacterium. RNAcentral describes it as "partial 16S ribosomal RNA". It matches the Rfam family "Bacterial small subunit ribosomal RNA", at positions 29 to 507 of the family's 1533-position model. The record is from RNAcentral.